This is a long non-coding RNA of Homo sapiens (human), 611 nucleotides long. RefSeq lists it as uncharacterized. Lineage: Eukaryota; Metazoa; Chordata; Mammalia; Primates; Hominidae. The record is from RefSeq and is a predicted model, not a curated record. The transcript has 3 exons.
AGCUAAGAACAAAAUCGGGCUGCCUGAGCUAGCAGUAGCAACCGGUUGGGGUGCCCUUCUGCAUUGUGAAGGCUUUGUUCUUUGGCUCUUUGCGAUAAAUCUUGCUGCUGCUCACUUUUUGGGUCCACGCUGCCUUUAUGAGCUGUAACACUCUCUGUGAAGGUCUGUAGCUUCACUCCUGAAGCCAGAGAGACCACGGGAAGGAACGAACAACUCCAGACGCCCCGCCUUAAAAGCUGUAACACUCACCGCGAAGGUCUGCAGCUUCACUCCUGAGCCAGUGAGACCACGAACCUACCAGAAGGAAGAAACUCCAAACACAUCUGAACAUCAGAAGGAACAAACUCCGGACACGCCGCCUUUAAGAACUCUAACACUCACCGCUAGGAUCCGCGGCUUCAUUCUUGAAGUCAGAUGAAGAGAUUGAAAAGUUAAGGAACAUGCACCAGGCAAGCAGCAAAGACUGCCCUUUUCCAUGAUUUUAUCCACUUCUUCCACUCCGCCUGAAACCUGUCUGCCUGAGCCCUGCCGAGACCCAGGCCCAGUUUUCUGUCUCGGAUUACUUCAGAGUUUGGCUUGGGCCUUUUCUUCAGGAAUCAUGCUGUGACUCG